ACACCAUAAAUGAUUCUUUUCCGGGUGGGUUUACCUUUACUAUCUUCUUUCGGCAUUGAAUCUCAGCAUCGUUGGCGCUAAGCCAAUCCAUACCCAAAACGAUGUCGAAACCGUUUAACUCUAUGGGUAAUAGCUCUUCGUGGAAUUCGUUUCCGUUUAGGUCAAUGACGAUGUUCCUAAUACGAUUACUAACAGGUACGAAUUUGCCACUGGCAACUUCUACAAUCAGGGCAUUAUCUAGUUUUUCUACAGGCAAUGCUAAUUUCCCACCAAAUUUAUGCGACACAAAGGAGUAGUUGGCUCCGGAAUCAAAUAGUAUAUUUGCAGGCAAACCAUUUACAAGAAAGGUACCUGAAGCGACGUCUGCUGCCUCCUUUGCAGCCUCGAGCGUCAUCUGGAAGGCUCUCGCCUUCGGCUUCGGUGGUAUGUUGGGUCUUCCUGUCUCCUUCUUCUUCGGGCAGUCCUUCAAAAUGUGCCCUUCUUCAUUGCACCCAUAACAGGCUUUCUGGUUGAGGGUGCAUUCAUUGGCGUAGUGCCCAGGCUUUCCGCACUUGUAACAAGUGACCCCUCCGUCACACUUCCCAGAGUGCUUCUUCUUGCACUUGUCACACCACUUCGCUUCUGAUCCUCCUCCCCUCGAACCAGACUUCGAGAAUCUACUCUUCUUGUUGGACUUCGAGGAUCCAUUGAACUUCCGUUUCUCACCAACCUCAGCCCUCUCCAGACCUCUUUCCUUUUGUUGGGUCUCCACGUUCUUAGCUGCUCGAACAGCUGAUUUCAGAGUGGUUGCCAUCUUGACUGUUGGGCCAAAGUCAGCCGGCAGUCCGUUUGCGAAUUUCUCAAUUUUGGAAAGUUCGGUUGGCACUAGGUAUGGAAACAACUUCAUCUUUUCCGUAAAUGCAGCAGCAUAGUCAUCGAUGCUCAUUCUCCCCUUCUUCAAAUUUUGGAACUCAUUGUUCAGAUCAAUCAGGUCUAUCUCUGAACAGUACUGCGCCUUCAGUUGUUCCAAGAACUCAUCCCAUGACAUUUUCAGAGCUUCUCCCCGUGGCAUUGUAUCUGCCAAUAGCUUCCACCAGCUCAAGACUCCAGUUUUCAAUUGUCUCACAGCGAAGACAGUCUUCUGCUUCUCGCUGCAGUCGCAGCUCUCAAACACCAUCUCCAUCUCGGAGAUCCAGUCCAUAAUCUCAACAGGCUUUGGGCUUCCUGAGAGACUUGGUGGUUUCGCACCCAAGAAAUUUUUGUACAUCCGCCCAUCCUUGUUGUUUCUCCCUUCUGGGCCAUCCUUUUGCUCACCUUGAGUCCCUACUUGACUCACUUGGCGGCUAUAGUUCCCUUCCUCAGAUGGCUCGGGAACUGGCUCCGUCGGUUCAACAUGUAUGGUAGGUUCGUCCCUAUUUUCGUGGAGCAUCCGUCUCAUUUCUUCCCUUUGUUCAGCUAGCAUAGCCUGAAUCAUGGCUUGAACUCCAGCCAUGGUGACUGGCUCAGGUGCAACUUCUUCAACAACAGGUAUUUGCUGAACCACUGGGGGUUGGUUCCUACCUCCAUUUGCGUUCACGUUUCCGCUACGGGUCCUUGCCAUCUUGAUCUAUACACCGAAUAAGGUGAAUUUAGAUCUUUAUUUAGGAUAGACGUUUUAAAUCGUCCUUAUCACUCCGAAACGUUUACAUGCUAGUUCUAAUAUCGUAGUCGUACGUUUAGAAUCCUAAACACAUAAGGUUUCCAGAUCCGGUCGGCAACAGACCAUAGAUCCGAACAAUUAACAGCAUAUUAUGCACAAAGCAUUUAGCACAUAAAAGCAUUUUAGGCACAAUUCCUAAAAUAAGCUAGUGCUCACACCUCACAAUCAUCGCUUAGCAUUCUAAGUUUAAGUCUAGAAAUCCUACAAAUUCCUAGUUCGCUUAAACUAAUGCUCUGAUACCAACUGUGACAUCCCCAAAAUCACGGCCAGAAAAGACCGGUUUGUUUAUGCUUUGUUUAAAAAUCAGAGUUACAUUUUAAAUGAAAGUGUUGCGGAAUUUGUCCCAAAACAAAAAUAUGAUAAAGAUUUAUCAAAAGCAUUUCCAUAGAAAUGUAUUUCAUUAAAAGACUCGGGAUGUCAUGUUCGUACAGAUCAAAAGCAUAAACAGUACAAUAUAAGCCUUACUACAUUAUUUCAUAUCUACAGGCCUAUAUCCGUAAUCCCUCGUCCAAAACAUCACACCUAUGCUCAUGCGCCACUACCUGUAAUACAUAAAACUGAGUGGGUCAGGCUUGGGAGCCUGGUGAGCACAUAGGGUUUUCAACCCACAAUAAAUAAGUUUAUUAAUUUCAUCGAUCAACAAUAACCCGAUUACCCGUUCCCGUUAUCCUCACUUUACGUCCCUAAACACCUAUCAUAAGGGACCUAGCCUAAGGAUCAUCAUCGGGACGGACACUACUGCUAAGGGGAUUCCUCAGCAAUAAAUGUCCUAAAGGCAACCAUGUGGGGGAUGGAGUACACCGGUGAACAUAUCGUUCACAAACACCUACAGGUUGCGAGCCUGCUAGUGUUCCACUGGACUGUCUAGAAGAGUCCGUGGUCGUCAUCCAUACUCCGCUAGAUGACAGAAUCAACAACAUCAACAUCGAGGCCUCUCAUCAUUUUAUCACACAUCACCUAUUGCAUCUACCCAUGUUUUACCCCAACAUUUUCGUAGAUAUAAAAUACAUAUACAGUUUAAAUCAUUGAAAACAUGUAUAACAACGUUCAUCUAGCAUAGAUAGCAAGUAUUCAGAUAAUAUGCACACAUAGCACGUAAUUUAUAUAAAAUACUUCAUAUCUAUGUGUAAGUUGAAAGUAACUAUGCACUCACUUGUUAAGGUGAUGAUUCCAAAAUCGGGCAGCGCUUGCUUCUAACGAUUCUAUUUUCCUUCGACGAAACCUAGCAUUAUUAUCGCUAAAUUUUAGUCUAAUAUUUACCGUGACCAACUAUUAGUCUUAGUAUUAUUAUUAUUAUAUAAGCGUUAAACAAUAUUUUCCAACCACUAUGUACAGACAGGGGCCAGACAUAAAACACCGGAGGGCAGGACCAUUUUGGCAUAUAGCACUUCUGAAAUCCAACAACCCUAUGCGGCCCUUUAAACCAGAUUCCCCGUACCGCGAGUAGUUAAAAAAAAUAUUAUAACGACACUUAUAUAAGUUAUAAUAAUAGCUCAAAUAUUUAUUAUAAGUUCAUAAUAACAAUACUAAUUUUAAAUAUAAGCUAUAUUAAAAUAAGGUAAGCAUAACUUACUUACAAGGGGGUUUUAGCUAGGAGUCGGGCUCUGCAGGGGCAGAACUUCGUCGCUGAAUCUUUCUAAGAAAGAUUCGUGCAGCGCUUCAGCGCUCACCUUACUAUACUAAGCUACAGAAAGAGAAGUCGAAUCACGAGGGACCGAAAUGCUCGGGGGAUAAGGAGAGAAAGACUCUUGAAUCAAGAGAAUGGUGCAAGAAAUAUGAGAGCCCAAGGCUCUUAUUUAUACUAAUUGAAUUUUCAAAAACUACCCUCCAUAAUUACUUAAUGACCUUUUAGUUAUAUAAACAACUAAACACCCCUCUAUAAUACUAUUAUAAAUGGAUUUAAUGAUAUUUGUACUAAACUAAUGUCGAAAGAACUCAACAUUAGUCUUAUAAUGACCGCAUCGUCGAUACCUUUCUAAUGAUAUAUACAUAUGUAUAUAUAUGUGUACGUAUACAUGAUUUAUACUUUAUUUUAAUACGUAAAUAUGCUAUUAUAAUUUGUAACUCGUUCAUACGAACUCCGUUUUUGACGUUCUUUAUAUCCACGCGUAGGUGAAGACGUACUCUACAACUUUCGUUUAGACUCCGUCGGCUAAUUUUGACUUUAUUUUUAAAGUUAUAUUUUUAACAAGCCGGGACAGGAUUGGUCUGUUUAAAAUCUCAUAACUUCUUCAUACGAAGUCAGAUUUGGGCGUUCUUUUUAUCGAUGUUCUUAGUUUAACAUAUUCUACGACUUUCGUUUAGAUCACUAAGGCUAAAUCUCGCUCUAUCGUAAAUUCACUAUUCACGCUUCCCGGUAUCGUGCCGGUUCUGUCGUGAAACUUCGACGGGUCAUAACUUCUUCGUUAUAACUCGGAUUUCGGCGUUCCUUAUAUGCACGGAAACCUUGAGACAUAUUCUACAACUUUAUGUAGAGAUAUCGGGAUUAUCUCACACUUUAAUUUUGACGCUCAUUUUUAUUCUUUAUUAAUUAUACAUUUAUAAUUAAAUAAUAAACACAUAUAAUUCACAUAAUACUCAAAUAUUUCAUCUUUAUUACUUCAAAAAGAGUUACAAGAGUUGACCUAGACUAUUACAUUGACAAAAAUGCUUAGCCCUGAAACCCGGGCGUUACAAUUCUCUCCCCCUUAGGAUGAUUCCGUCCCGGAAUCAUGCAUCAGCAAACAGAUGUGGAUAGCGACUCAUCAUGUCAUCCUCUGUUUCCCAAGUGAGAUUCGGCCCAUUCGAAUGUUUCCAUCGGACUAGCACCAAGUCGACCAUCUUGCGUCGUAACUUCUUAGUCUUACGGUCAACAAUUGCCUCAGGCUCUUCGAUCAACCUUUUAUUUUCAUCCAUCCUUAACUCUGAGAUUGGAAUUAUGUCGGGAACAUCUCCCGUGAAUUUCCUCAAAUAACACACAUGGAAGGUGUUAUGAAUACCAUUGAGUUCUUCGGGCAAUUCCAGCUUGUAAGCUUGGUUCCCUAUCUUCUGAAGAACUUUGAACGGUCCAAUAAACCUUGGACUCAACUUUCCUCGUUUCCCAAAUCGUAUAAGUCCCUUCCACGGUGAGACUUUAAGCAAAACGGAAUCCCCAACUUCGAAAGUUAUCGGUCGUCUUUUCUUGUCAGCAUAGCUCUUCUGACGAUCCUGGGCUGCUAACAUCCUUUCCCUAAUCACCUUCAACUUCUCAGCAGUCUCAUGGACUAUCUCGGGGCCCAUAAACUGCUUCUCUCCGGCUUCAAGCCAACAAGACGGCGUACGACACUUCUGCCCAUACAAGGCUUGAUAAGGAGCCAUCUUGAUGCUCGAGUGAAAACUAUUGUUGUAGGAAAAUUCUACCAGAGGUAAGUGCUCGUCCCAAUUCCCUUGGAAUUCGAGGGUACAUGCUCUCAGCAUAUCUUCCAGCGUCUGAAUCGUUCUUUCGCUCUGACCAUCAGUUUGCGGAUGAUAAGCAGUACUCAAACACAACUUUGUACCUAACUCCUCUUGUAGACUCCUCCAAAACCUUGACGUGAAACGACUAUCACGAUCUGAUACAAUCGUAAGAGGGACACCGUGAAGUCUUACAAUUUCCUUCACGUAAGCAUUUGCGAGCUUAUCCAUAGACCACUUCUCGUUGGCUGCUAUGAAGUGUGCACUCUUGGUGAAACGAUCCACGACUACCCAAAUCAUGUCGUGACCGUUCUUCGUCCUGGGCAGUUUAGUCACAAAAUCCAUGGUGAUGUCUUCCCAUUUACCCAUGGGUACAGGUAAAGGUUCUAAACUCCCAUACGGUUUCUGAUGUUGUGCCUUAACCCUCGCACAUGUUACGCACUCGGCCACAUACUUCGCAACAUCGAGCUUCAUCGUCGGCCACCAGUAGUAGGGUUUUAGGUCCCUAUACAUUUUAGUGCUACCGGGAUGAAUCGAGUACAUGGUCUUGUGUGCUUCUUCCAUCAGAAGAUCUCUUAUUCCUCCCGUCUUAGGUACCCAAAUUCGAUCUUGGAAUACCUUCAGUCCUCGACUGUUUGUACCAAACACUAACGUUCUUCCCAAACGUUCUUCCUUUCGGUCAUUUUUCUCUAAAGCUUCUUCUUGAGCUUUCCUGAUACUUUCCACAAUCGUCGAGACGACUUCAAUUCUUAACGCUCUUGGCCUUUUCCUUUCCAGAUUGACUUUCCGACUGAGAGCAUCAGCAACAAUAUUUGCUUUACCUGGGUGGUAAAGUAUCUCACAGUCGUAGUCCUUGAGAAGUUCUAGCCAGCGUCGUUGCCUCAUGUUCAACUCCUUCUGAUUAAAGAGAUACUGGAGACUCUUAUGAUCAGUGAAGAGCUUGCACUUCGUGCCGUAGAGGUAAUGCCUCCAUAUCUUUAAGGCAAAAACUACCGCUGCCAACUCCAGAUCAUGAGUGGGGUAGUUCUUUUCGUGCUCUUUCAAUUGUCGAGAUGCGUAUGCUAUCACCUUUUCUCUUUGGGUCAGAACACAACCCAACCCGACUCCAGAAGCGUCACUAUAAACCGCGAAAUCUUCGACUCCAUCGGGUAGAGAAAGUAUCGGUGCUUCACAUAACUUCUUCUUUAGCUUCUCGAAUGCCUCAUCGUGUUUCUCACUCCACGUAUACGUAGCUCCUUUAUGAGUCAAAGCUGUUAAUGGAGCAGCUAUCGAAGAAAAGCCUUGGAUAAAUCGUCGAUAAUAUCCGGCUAAUCCUAGAAAGCUUCGAAUCUCCGUGGGACUCUUUGGACGUUCCCACUUCAUUACAGCCUCGAUCUUUGCGGGGUCAACCAUUAUUCCCUCCUGGUUAACAACAUGACCCAAGAAUUGGACUUCCCGUAUCCAAAAGUCGCAUUUGGAGAACUUUGCAAAAAGCUUCUCCUUCUUCAACACUUCUAAUACUUCCCGUAGAUGCUUGCCAUGCUCCUCUUGGCUUUUCGAGUAGAUGAGAAUGUCGUCGAUGAACACUAUCACGGAUUUAUCGAGGAAUGGUUUACAAACCCUAUUCAUCAAAUCCAUGAAUGCUGCGGGAGCAUUGGUUAGCCCGAAUGACAUAACCAAGAACUCGUAGUGUCCAUAUCUCGUUCUGAAUGCAGUCUUCUCAAUAUCCUGCUUUCUCACCUUUAGCUGAUGAUAUCCUGACCUAAGAUCGAUCUUUGAGAAGUAGCUCGAACCUUGCAGCUGAUCGAAUAGGUCAUCAAUCCUCGGCAAUGGAUACUUGUUCUUCACCGUUGCCUUAUUCAGCUCUCGGUAGUCUAUACACAUUCUCAUACUUCCGUCCUUCUUCUUCACGAAUAACACCGGAGCUCCCCAGGGUGAUGAACUAGGUCGAAUAAAACCGUUGUCCAACAGCUCCUGAAGUUGCGUCAUGAGCUCCUUCAUCUCCGUCGGUGCUAAUCGGUAAGGUGCCUUUGCUAUCGGUGUUGUUCCUGGUAACAAGUCUAUACGAAACUCCACUUGCCUAUCAGGUGGUAAUCCGGGAAGAUCUUCGGGAAAGACUUCCGGAUAAUCACACACAACCGGUAUAUUCUGCACCUCUUUCUUCUCCUUCUUGGCAUCGAUUACGAAUGCCAAGUAUGAUGCACAUCCCUUUGACAAACAUUUCCUGGCUUUCAUCAGGGAGAUGAUUCCAGAAUUCACUCUGCGUUUGUCCCCAUACACCAUAAAUGAUUCCUUUCCGGGUGGGUUCACCCUUACUAUCUUCUUUCGGCAUUGAAUCUCAGCAUCGUUGGCGCUAAGCCAAUCCAUACCCAAAACGAUGUCGAAACCGUUUAACUCUAUGGGUAAUAGCUCUUCGUGGAAUUCGUUUCCGUUUAGGUCAAUGACGAUGUUCCUAAUACGAUUACUAACAGGUACGAAUUUGCCACUGGCAACUUCUACAAUCAGGGUAUUAUCUAGUUUUUCUACAGGCAAUGCUAAUUUCCCACCAAAUUUAUGCGACAC
Molecule: long non-coding RNA, 7630 nt
Filed under: Lactuca sativa (garden lettuce)
Lineage: Eukaryota; Viridiplantae; Streptophyta; Magnoliopsida; Asterales; Asteraceae
Description: long non-coding RNA (LSAT_LNC006037)
Source: RNAcentral